UACAGAGGGUGCAAGCGUUAAUCGGAAUUACUGGGCGUAAAGGGCGCGUAGGCGGCCUGUUAAGUCGAACGUGAAAUCCCCGGGCUCAACCCGGGAACUGCGUCCGAUACUGGCAGGCUUGAAUUCGGGAGAGGGAUGUGGAAUUCCAGGUGUAGCGGUGAAAUGCGUAGAUAUCUGGAGGAACACCGGUGGCGAAGGCGGCAUCCUGGACCGAUAUUGACGCUGAGGCGCGAAAGCUAGGGGAGCAAACGGG
Molecule: ribosomal RNA, 253 nt
Filed under: uncultured bacterium
Lineage: Bacteria
Description: partial 16S ribosomal RNA
Rfam family: Bacterial small subunit ribosomal RNA
Source: RNAcentral